Molecule: non-coding RNA, 138 nt
Organism: Ornithorhynchus anatinus (platypus)
Lineage: Eukaryota; Metazoa; Chordata; Mammalia; Monotremata; Ornithorhynchidae
Source: Rfam
CCCCUCUCAGGGUUGCACCUGGAGAGUUUCCAGUACUCUACCAGUCAUGACUACAGGACAGAGAGUCAGGCAGAGGCCUACCCUUUCCAUUUCUAGCUUGGGCAGGGGCUAGUGAGUGGAAGGCAAUCUGCUACAAGU